CGCCAAGCGAGCCCCGUGG
RNAcentral lists this unclassified non-coding RNA (19 nucleotides) under Mus musculus (house mouse). RNAcentral describes it as "oocyte_clustered_small_RNA13728". Lineage: Eukaryota; Metazoa; Chordata; Mammalia; Rodentia; Muridae. The record is from RNAcentral.